Chroicocephalus ridibundus (black-headed gull) is the source of this 266-nucleotide long non-coding RNA. RefSeq lists it as uncharacterized. The record is from RefSeq and is a predicted model, not a curated record. Lineage: Eukaryota; Metazoa; Chordata; Aves; Charadriiformes; Laridae. The transcript has 3 exons.
GCUCUCAGAAGUGCCUCUGGAAAGAUGACUCAGAGGAGGAGUAGCGGGAGGCUCCUAUGGCAUUCGUCCGAACGCGGGAAAGAGCAUUCCCUCUUACUGUACAUAUGACAGGAUUCACCACCUCUGCAUCUGCAAACGACGCAGCCUGGGAACCUGGUUCACCAAGAGCAUCUGAUCCUUUCGUGUACUUCAGCACAUGAAGCAAUAAGCUAAUCCCUGAAAUCUGAGCACAGCUUCAGUGUACAACUGUGAAAAGUUGCCUCCCA